CUAAACUAGGAUUAGAUACCCUAUUAUUUUAGAGGUAAACAUUGUUAGUAAAUAAAAAUUACGAAAGCAAAAAAUUAUGGCGGUAUUUUAAGCUUUUCAGAGGAAUUUGCUCUUUAAUGGAUAAAACACCUAAAUCUUACUUAAAUUUGUAAAUUCAAUUUGUAUACCACUAUAAAAACAAUUAAUAACUUCAAUUGUUAAAAUUUAUUAAAUUAAGUUAUAUUAAGUCAAGGUGCAGUAAAAAUUUAAGAAUGAAGUGAAUUACAUUUCUUUUUAGAGAGAGAGAAAUUUAAAUAACAUUUAGGAUUUGAAAGUAAAAUUGAAAUAGAAUGUCAAUUUGAAUUAAGCUCUAAAAUAUGUACAUAUCGCCCGUCACUCUUUAUUAAGAUAAU
This 392-nucleotide ribosomal RNA is filed under the name Rhipicephalus sanguineus (brown dog tick). Its description in RNAcentral is "partial 12S ribosomal RNA". Lineage: Eukaryota; Metazoa; Arthropoda; Arachnida; Ixodida; Ixodidae. The record is from RNAcentral.